Molecule: ribosomal RNA, 492 nt
Filed under: uncultured bacterium
Lineage: Bacteria
Description: partial 16S ribosomal RNA
Rfam family: Bacterial small subunit ribosomal RNA
Source: RNAcentral
AGUGAACGCUGGCGGUAGGCCUAACACAUGCAAGUCGAACGGCAGCACAGUAAGAGCUUGCUCUUACGGGUGGCGAGUGGCGGACGGGUGCGGAAUACAUCGGAAUCUACUUUUUCGUGGGGGAUAACGUAGGGAAACUUACGCUAAUACCGCAUACGACCUACGGGUGAAAGCAGGGGAUCUUCGGACCUUGCGCGAUUGAAUGAGCCGAUGUCGGAUUAGCUAGUUGGCGGGGUAAAGGCCCACCAAGGCGACGAUCCGUAGCUGGUCUGAGAGGAUGAACAGCCACACUGGAACUGAGACACGGUCCAGACUCCUACGGGAGGCAGCAGUGGGGAAUAUUGGACAAUGGGCGCAAGCCUGAUCCAGCCAUACCGCGUGGGUGAAGAAGGCCUUCGGGUUGUAAAGCCCUUUUGUUGGGAAAGAAAAGCAGCAGGUUAAUACCCCGCUGUUCUGACGGUACCCAAAGAAUAAGCACCGGCUAACUUCGUG